ACACGGGGCCGGACCUCUACGUGCGACGUUUUGAGCGCCUUGAGUGAGAACAACGAAGACUCAAUCGUGCGACGCGACCUUUCGGACAUGGCCACCCGAAGCUGUGAUGGCGAAGACAAUGGCGCGGCGACGGUUGGCGGCAGCAGCGACGAACCGCGUUAUGUUGAUCGUGGGUGUCAACAGACGGUGCCGUGGGCUGACAAAGCUACGCAGUGCAAGCUGGAUACAUGUGCACGCUAUGACCAAAUGUACAGAGAGCAUGAGACGCGCAUGGAGGGGCUGCGCGUGCUGCAUGACAAAUAUCGUGAGCUGCUCAACAGACCGGCCCGUAAUUUGUCAAAAUAAUCCUGGAGUUCUUCUGGGACGUGACAAUACCAAAGUUAAUAAUUUUCACUUUUCGUUUGUCACUCAAAUAUGGUUCUGAUUUUACUUUUUUUUUGGAGCGCAGUACUGCUCCGGAAACUAGUUUCCCAUGCCAAGUAUAUAUGUCAUGGUAACAUAAGGCGUAUUUGACUUUUAUUCUUCUGAAUAACUGACGCGUGCCUGCUAAAUCUGCUUCAAUACAGGGCGGACUUGCCAUGGAGUGAAUGAAACACUAAAUGUGGAUUGCAGUGAAACACUUGGCGACAGGUCUGCUUGGAACGUAGUGCCCAUGAACGAAAGGUUCUGAUCCUCCGUGAAGUGGUUCUCUUCAUAUAGAGCUUUAGCCUGCUCCUUGUGGCCACCGUAUAAAGAGGUGGCCAUCCAGCAACUGGGAUUGAACCACGCACCGUCUAUUGUCAAGCCAGUUGUCUUACCCACUAGGCCACAGCUGCGCAAAGGAUCCUGUAGGGUUUCGCU
This 840-nucleotide unclassified non-coding RNA is filed under the name Dermacentor andersoni. Its description in RNAcentral is "uncharacterized LOC126518616". Lineage: Eukaryota; Metazoa; Arthropoda; Arachnida; Ixodida; Ixodidae. The record is from RNAcentral.